This is an RNA transcript of Solanum tuberosum (potato), 599 nucleotides long. It is a transcript of the gene named protein LITTLE ZIPPER 2-like, with no coding region annotated. NCBI's taxonomy places the organism in Eukaryota, Viridiplantae, Streptophyta, Magnoliopsida, Solanales, Solanaceae. The transcript is spliced from 3 exons. The record is from RefSeq and is a predicted model, not a curated record.
UAGAAAAUUAUGCAUUUGCUUCAGCUUUUUCCACGGUCUACUUAUUGAAGGAGACUAUAUAAAGGAGUGUAAUGAUGAUAUUAAAAGGAGGAAUGAAGUAAAAUUCAAAAAGUUUCAGAUCAUUUAGAGUCAUUUCAACCUUCAUGUUACACUGACCUAGUCCACAGGCCACAAACAUCUAAAACAGCCGAGAUACAUGUGCUCAAGCUAAGAAGAAGGAACGGUGAAAGAUUGUCGAACGAAGCAAAGAAAAGGGCAAAGUUAAGGAAAUUGAAGAACAUAAUGAAGAUGAAGAACUUGAAGCUCAACAAAGAGAACAAAACCAUUAUUGAAGAGAAUGAAAAGUUGCGCAAAAGAGCUCUUCUUCUUCAUCAAGAAAACAAAGCCAUGUUCACUCAAAUUAUUCAACAAAUUUCUCAACCCUCUAAUUAUCACAAUUAUUAAUGACUAAGUUAGCAUCAUAUGAUAUUUAUAGAGCUAAUUAUUAAUUAAAGCACUAUUUAGCCAGAAUAUAUACACGUACUAAAUACCUAUGCAAGUUAUUUUAUUAUUAAAAAAAAACCUCUUCAUUAUUGUUAUUUAUAAUUAACGAUUGGUUA